RNAcentral lists this transfer RNA (72 nucleotides) under Amycolatopsis rhizosphaerae. It matches the Rfam family "tRNA". From Rfam's summary of the family: Transfer RNA (tRNA) molecules are approximately 80 nucleotides in length. Their secondary structure includes four short double-helical elements and three loops (D, anti-codon, and T loops). Further hydrogen bonds mediate the characteristic L-shaped molecular structure. tRNAs have two regions of fundamental functional importance: the anti-codon, which is responsible for specific mRNA codon recognition, and the 3' end, to which the tRNAs corresponding amino acid is attached (by aminoacyl-tRNA synthetases). tRNAs cope with the degeneracy of the genetic code in two manners: having more than one tRNA (with a specific anti-codon) for a particular amino acid; and 'wobble' base-pairing, i.e. permitting non-standard base-pairing at the 3rd anti-codon position. Lineage: Bacteria; Bacillati; Actinomycetota; Actinomycetes; Pseudonocardiales; Pseudonocardiaceae. The record is from Rfam by way of RNAcentral. RNAcentral also lists the same sequence under 1 other name.
GCCUUCGUGGUCCAACGGACACGACGCCGGUUUCCGGAACCGGAGAUCCAGGUUCGACUCCUGGCGAGGGCG